AGGGUGUAAACGCUGCAGACUUGGUGUUGGAAGUCCUUUGGGGGCAUUCAGUGCCGGAGAGAAGUUGUUAAGUCUGCUACUUGGGGAGUACGUCCGCAAGGAUGAAACUUAAAGGAAUUGGCGGGGGAGGCACCGCAACGGGAGGAGCGUGCGGUUUAAUUGGAUUCAACACCGUAAAACUCACCAGGGAAGACUGUUACAUGAAAGCCGAGAUGAAGACUCUGCUAGAUUUUCAGAGAGGAGGUGCAUGGCGUCAGUGACU
RNAcentral lists this ribosomal RNA (262 nucleotides) under uncultured archaeon. Its description in RNAcentral is "partial 16S ribosomal RNA". It matches the Rfam family "Archaeal small subunit ribosomal RNA", at positions 748 to 1008 of the family's 1478-position model. The record is from RNAcentral.